Molecule: long non-coding RNA, 858 nt
Organism: Podarcis raffonei (Aeolian wall lizard)
Lineage: Eukaryota; Metazoa; Chordata; Lepidosauria; Squamata; Lacertidae
Exons: 2
Source: RefSeq, a predicted model, not a curated record
CCAACCAACCCACUAAAACCAACCAACUACCCGCCAACAACUAACUCAAACCUCGGGCUAAGCCCUUUUAUAAACAGGGUGCUUACUGGAGUCCCCCAGGAAGGGAAUGCCAUAGCCUUAAGUCCUGGUGCAAACGUCUUGCUACAAAAAAGGCAGAAAAAUUCAUUCACACAUUGCGCUCCUGCCUCCUAGUGCAAGGUGAUCCCCACUUUCAACUCUGAGAUAUGGAUCAGCUUGGCUUUGAAUUCUGAUCCACCUGUGGCCAGCUGUAGCUCAUUCCCAAUUCUUGGCCACAUAUUUUUGUUUCUAUACUGGGUGACGCAAGUGAGAUCAUUUUCUUUCUUUUCCACCCACAUAUAAAGAGGAACAAAUAUACAAUAAACUCGGAUUUUGCUCGAAGAGAUACACAUAAAUACUGUACACAAAGAGUUACAAUCCAGUUUUGCAAGCACUGGUAAAACGGGGAGCUUGAAAGACGCCAACUUCCUUCCCAGGUGAAGGUAUGGGCAUCAUUUCAGCAGAAGUUAACGCUUUCUGCCCGCCCACCCCAACCCGUCAGCAAAUAUGUAUAUAAAAGAAUAUCGUCACUAGCCAGUGUUGACAACUGAUAGCAAAAGAAGGUGGUUCAAGCUCCUGAUGGUAUCUCAGGAUUGUCAAGUGGCUUUCUCAGAAUGACAUCAGACAUCUGUUCUCUCUUCAAAGUCAGUCACCUUCAGCCCAGUUGAGCAGAAUCCAUUAUCUUCUUCUUCUGCUGCUGCAGGAACUGCAGGAACUGCUCCCUCCAAAUAUUAAGACACAGCUUUCCCAGAAAUUAAACCUCAGGAUUCAGCAAGCUCUGAGCUUAGCUGCAGACUCUCA